RNAcentral lists this long non-coding RNA (222 nucleotides) under Homo sapiens (human). RNAcentral's name for it is "HSALNT0203103". The record is from RNAcentral. Lineage: Eukaryota; Metazoa; Chordata; Mammalia; Primates; Hominidae.
GUAACCUGCAGCUUUCCUGACAACUCCUUGCUCUCUCUCCUGCUAAGAACUGUAGCCCUUUUCUGCUGUUUUUAGAACCUUCUGCUACCAUAUCCACCACUUCCACCACCAGAUCCAUAACCACCACCAUAGGGACUGCCCGAGCUUCUUCCACCAAAACUGCCCCCUUUCAUGGGUCCAUAAUUUGAUUGCUGUUGUCCACUAUGAUUUCCAAAAUCAUUA